Molecule: long non-coding RNA, 175 nt
Filed under: Vulpes vulpes (red fox)
Lineage: Eukaryota; Metazoa; Chordata; Mammalia; Carnivora; Canidae
Description: lncRNA (ENSVVUG00000011039.1)
Source: RNAcentral
ACAAACCAGAGACCAAAAACUGGAAUGACAAUAACACAUGGAGCACUUUGAAUAUCCUAGCCAAUUGAGGGUUACAUCUGCCUGUAAAUUACCCAUGCUUUCUCUCCGCACACAGUCUGCCCACAUCAUCUGUGAAUAAAUAACCAUAAAAAAUAAAUGGAGAGGAAAGACGACA